RNAcentral lists this ribosomal RNA (253 nucleotides) under uncultured bacterium. RNAcentral's name for it is "partial 16S ribosomal RNA". It matches the Rfam family "Bacterial small subunit ribosomal RNA", at positions 524 to 776 of the family's 1533-position model. The record is from RNAcentral.
GACGAACCGUCCUAACGUUGUUCGGAUUCACUGGGCUUAAAGGGCGCGUAGGCGGGCAGGCAAGUCCGGGGUGAAAUCUUUCGGCUUAACCGGAAAACGGCCUUGGAUACUGCUUGUCUUGAGGGAGGUAGGGGUCUGCGGAACUUCCGGUGGAGCGGUGAAAUGCGUUGAUAUCGGAAGGAACGCCGGUGGCGAAAGCGGCGGACUGGACCUCUUCUGACGCUGAGGCGCGAAAGCCAGGGUAGCGAACGGG